This 301-nucleotide ribosomal RNA is filed under the name uncultured bacterium. RNAcentral describes it as "partial 16S ribosomal RNA". It matches the Rfam family "Bacterial small subunit ribosomal RNA", at positions 509 to 809 of the family's 1533-position model. The record is from RNAcentral.
CAGCCGCCGCGGGAAUACGAAGGGUGCAAGCGUUAAUCGGAAUUACUGGGCGUAAAGCGUGCGCAGGCGGUUGUAUAAGACAGGUGUGAAAUCCCCGGGCUUAACCUGGGAACUGCGCUUGUGACUGCACAGCUAGAGUAUGGCAGAGGGGGGUGGAAUUCCACGUGUAGCAGUGAAAUGCGUAGAGAUGUGGAGGAACACCGAUGGCGAAGGCAGCCCCCUGGGCCAAUACUGACGCUCAUGCACGAAAGCGUGGGGAGCAAACAGGAUUAGAUACCCCGGUAGUCCCUGUCUCUUACAC